AUUGAACGCUGGCGGCAUGCCUUACACAUGCAAGUCGAACGGUAACGGGCCUUCGGGUGCCGACGAGUGGCGCACGGGUGAGUAAUACAUCGGAACGUGCCCGAUCGUGGGGGAUAACGAGGCGAAAGCUUUGCUAAUACCGCAUGCGAUCUACGGAUGAAAGCAGGGGACCGCAAGGCCUUGCGCGGACGGAGCGGCCGAUGGCAGAUUAGGUAGUUGGUGGGAUAAAAGCUUACCAAGCCGACGAUCUGUAGCUGGUCUGAGAGGAUGAUCAGCCACACUGGGACUGAGACACGGCCCAGACUCCUACGGGAGGCAGCAGUGGGGAAUUUUGGACAAAGGGCGCAAGCCUGAUCCAGCCAUGCCGCGUGCAGGAUGAAGGCCUUCGGGUUGUAAACUGCUUUUGUACGGAACGAAAAGCCUUCUUUUAAUACAGGAGGGUCAUGACGGUACCGUAAGAAUAAGCACCGGCUAACUACGUG
This 482-nucleotide ribosomal RNA is filed under the name uncultured bacterium. RNAcentral describes it as "partial 16S ribosomal RNA". It matches the Rfam family "Bacterial small subunit ribosomal RNA", at positions 30 to 507 of the family's 1533-position model. The record is from RNAcentral.